AUUGAACGCUGGCGGCAUGCCUUACACAUGCAAGUCGAACGGUAACAGGUCUUCGGUUGCUGACGAGUGGCGUACGGGUGGGUAAUACAUCGGAACGUGCCCGAUCGUGGGGGAUAACGGAGCGAAAGCUUUGCUAAUACCGCAUACGACCUACGGAUGAAAGCAGGGGACCGCAAGGCCUUGCGCGGACGGGGCGGCCGCUGGCAGAUUAGGUAGUUGGUGGGGUAAAAGCUUACCAAGCCGACGAUCUGUAGCUGGUCUGAGAGGACGACCAGCCACACUGGGACUGAGACACGGCCCAGACUCCUACGGGAGGCAGCAGUGGGGAAUUUUGGACAAUGGGCGAAAGCCUGAUCCAGCCAUGCCGCGUGCAGGAUGAAGGCCUUCGGGUUGUAAACUGCUUUUGUACGGAGCGAAAAGACUCUUUCUAAUAAAGAGGGUCCAUGACGGUACCGUAAGAAUAAGCACCGGCUAACUACGUG
RNAcentral lists this ribosomal RNA (482 nucleotides) under uncultured bacterium. Its description in RNAcentral is "partial 16S ribosomal RNA". It matches the Rfam family "Bacterial small subunit ribosomal RNA", at positions 30 to 507 of the family's 1533-position model. The record is from RNAcentral.